CCCAGUUUUCAAGUUGGUCCAAAUCGGGGUCCAAAAUUAAACUUUGUUUGAUUUCAACAAAAAUUCAAUAUAUGGGGUUCUCAAUAUGCUGAAUCUAACCAUGUAUUUAGAUUUUUAAUAUUUAUGACCGGUUAUCAAAUUGGUCCACAUUGAGGUCUAAAGGGUUCAAAAUUGAACUUUUAUUAUUUGAUUUCAUCAAAAAUUGAAUUCUUGGGGUUCUUUGAUAUGAUGAAUCUAACCAUGUAUUUAGAUUUUGGAUAUUGGAAUACCACAAAGGGAUGGUAAGAAAUGUCUUUGGGAGUUAUGGCUCAAACCGUUAAGGAAUAAGGUGAAAAAAGGGGGGAAAGGGUUUCCAGGUUAAUGGACAGUUACUUAAGUACAAAACAUAAUUUGAAAGCAGUGUAAGGUUGGUAAUUGAAACUCAUUUUAAUAGCUCACCUAAACUGCUCUUAAAUUAUGUAUAUUGGAAAUUUGCCAAAAACUUUAGUUUAAUGAACUUCA
RNAcentral lists this long non-coding RNA (501 nucleotides) under Mytilus galloprovincialis (Mediterranean mussel). Lineage: Eukaryota; Metazoa; Mollusca; Bivalvia; Mytilida; Mytilidae. The record is from RNAcentral.